Molecule: ribosomal RNA, 453 nt
Filed under: uncultured Sphingobacteriales bacterium
Lineage: Bacteria; Pseudomonadati; Bacteroidota; Sphingobacteriia; Sphingobacteriales
Description: bacterial SSU rRNA
Rfam family: Bacterial small subunit ribosomal RNA
Source: RNAcentral
CGGAGGAGCAUGUGGUUUAAUUUCGAUGAUACGCGAGGAACCUUACCUGGGCUCGAACGUAAGAUGACUGUAGGUGAAAGCUUACAUCUCUUCGGAGCAUUUUACGAGGUGCUGCAUGGUUGUCGUCAGCUCGUGCCGUGAGGUGUCGGGUUAAGUCCCAUAACGAGCGCAACCCCUACCUUUAGUUGCCAUCAGGUUAAGCUGGGGACUCUAAAGGAACUGCCUACGCAAGUAGUGAGGAAGGCGGGGAUGACGUCAAAUCAGCACGGCCCUUACGUCCAGGGCUACACACGUGCUACAAUGGCCGAUACAGAGGGCAGCUACCUGGUGACAGGAUGCAAAUCUCCAAAGUCGGUCUCAGUUCGGAUCGGAGUCUGCAACCCGACUCCGUGAAGUUGGAUUCGCUAGUAAUCGCGCAUCAGCCAUGGCGCGGUGAAUACGUUCCCGGGCCUU